This 438-nucleotide ribosomal RNA is filed under the name uncultured bacterium. RNAcentral's name for it is "partial 16S ribosomal RNA". It matches the Rfam family "Bacterial small subunit ribosomal RNA", at positions 339 to 795 of the family's 1533-position model. The record is from RNAcentral.
CUACGGGUGGCUGCAGUGGGGAAUAUUGCACAAUGGAGGAAACUCUGAUGCAGCAACGCCGCGUGGAGGAUGACACUUUUCGGAGCGUAAACUCCUUUUAUAUAGGAAGAAGAUGACGGUACUAUAUGAAUAAGCGCCGGCUAACUCCGUGCCAGCAGCCGCGGUAAUACGGAGGGCGCAAGCGUUACUCGGAAUCACUGGGCGUAAAGAGCGUGUAGGCGGAUUAAAAAGUCAGAAGUGAAAUCCUAUAGCUUAACUAUAGAACUGCUUCUGAAACUCUUAAUCUAGAAGAUGGGAGGGUAGAUGGAAUUUCUGGUGUAGGGGUAAAAUCCGUAGAGAUCAGAAGGAAUACCGAUUGCGAAGGCGAUCUACUAGAACAUUAUUGACGCUGAGACGCGAAAGCGUGGGGAGCAAACAGGAUUAGAUACCCCAGUAGUC